RNAcentral lists this ribosomal RNA (250 nucleotides) under uncultured prokaryote. RNAcentral's name for it is "partial 16S ribosomal RNA". It matches the Rfam family "Bacterial small subunit ribosomal RNA", at positions 524 to 773 of the family's 1533-position model. The record is from RNAcentral.
UACAUAGGGUGCGAGCGUUAUCCGGAAUUAUUGGGUGUAAAGGGUGCGUAGACGGGAAGGCAAGUUGGUUGUGAAAUCCCUCGGCUCAACUGAGGAACUGCAACCAAAACUACCGAUCUUGAGUGCUGGAGGGGAAAGUGGAAUUCCUAGUGUAGCGGUGAAAUGCGUAGAUAUUAGGAGGAACACCAGUGGCGAAGGCGACUUUCUGGACAGUAACUGACGUUGAGGCACGAAAGUGUGGGGAGCAAAC